This 206-nucleotide ribosomal RNA is filed under the name uncultured bacterium. RNAcentral's name for it is "partial 16S ribosomal RNA". It matches the Rfam family "Bacterial small subunit ribosomal RNA", at positions 1298 to 1500 of the family's 1533-position model. The record is from RNAcentral.
UUGCAGGCUGCAACCCGCCCUGUAUGAAGUUGGAAUCGCUAGUAAUCGCGGAUCAGCAUGCCGCGGUGAAUACGUUCCCGGGCCUUGUACACACCGCCCGUCACACCAUGAGAGUCGGGAACACCCGAAGUCCGUAGUCUAACUUUCACGAGAGGACGCGGCCGAAGGUGGGUCCGGUAAUUGGGGUGAAGUCGUAACAAGGUAGC